Molecule: long non-coding RNA, 661 nt
Organism: Lepidothrix coronata (blue-crowned manakin)
Lineage: Eukaryota; Metazoa; Chordata; Aves; Passeriformes; Pipridae
Exons: 3
Source: RefSeq, a predicted model, not a curated record
CAUCCCUAUAGGUCCCAUAAGUGUUGAGACACCCCCAUGGGUGACAGGAUCCAGCAUCCCAUUCCCGAAUUCUCCAGAAUUCUAGGUUCAAUUUCACAACCCAUUCCACUCUGGCCAGGUGUGGUAAAUGGUCAGGGUUUAAUGUUCACCCCCUACACCUCCCUCCUUCCUUCCCUUCUAAACAUCCCAGGCUAAAGGGGAAACCCAUCUCCUCUCUUCCCUCUGUCCUGGCUUCCUGCUGACAUCAUAACAUACCUUCAUGAGGUACUAGGGGUUGUCCCACAUCAAAGGGGGUGUCCCACAUCAAGGAGGGUCUCUGACCACUUCCCAGCAAGGGCUGGGGUCUGUGGAGUCUCCCCUGUGUGUAGCUGUUCAGAGCCAGGUGAUUGUUGUCAUCUUCUUCUGAAAUUCCUUGAAAGUUCAGGUGCCUGAGAACUCCUGGGGUCAGCAAACUCUCAGAGUGAGUUUCUCUAUUGAAAGAAGUGGUCUGUCUGUGUAUGGCAAAGCCAAAGGGAGCAAAGAUCUGGAACCAAAACAGCACAGAAAACAUACUGGUGACCUACUGUUGCUGAACAGUGUUUUUACAGCAUCACCACCUUCUUUCCUUCUCUUUACUCUCUCAGUGAGCAGCUGGAGUGUGGCAACAUGGUGGGAUUUGGCA